AGUUAGCUGGUCAGAACCUACUCAUACUGGUCACAACUUGUUUUAAAGGUCAGAGCCUUCAAUCAGAACUCUGAGGUAAUGGUCAAGCCUGAGCACGUGCAAGUGAGGUAACUGUAGCUAAGAAUAGGAAGGUUAUAUAAAGAGAGAACUUCCAACAGCGAUUUCGGAGUUCGGAGUCUGUGUCUGAAGAAGGAGAGAGGCAUGCAGGGAAAGCCCAAAAGCCAACAAAAGAAGCCAAAGAGAAACUGCAGCAGAGAGACAAAAGAAAGCUGAAGCAGACCAGAGCUGACUGACCAGGAACUGAACAGCAAUAGCAGUGAUUUGUAAAAGAAAACAGCAAUGGAUUGAUAGAAAAACAGCAUCAACUCUAAGCCACAAUGGAAUGUAAGGAACUGCUUCCCUCCACAGAAGAAUUCAUGAGAUUUCUUUUAUUCCUGUUCACCAGUUUUCAACCUUCCAGCCACCACAAUAUUUUUUGCUGAUUGUACCAGGUUCACCAUUGGAAAUUUACGAAGUUCAGAGCAUUGACAACUCUAGCAGAAGUCUGCAAGUGCUCAGCACCCUUGUAAUGGGUGCUAUUGGAAGAACAAACAGGAAGGCAAUGGGAUGGUUUCCCAGCUAAGAACAUCUUAACACAUACUGUUAGGCAACGGAAGAAGCUCUUAUCUUCGAGAAUCUUACAUCCCAUCUCCAAAAAGUUGCACGCUUUUAUUGCUAGUGAUGAGACCUUCGCUAUCAACAGUUAAGAAGUCACAAUCCCUGAGGACCAGAGUGAUCAAAAAAGACUGAACGGCUUUUACAAGAGACUUUCCCUGAAGCAGGUUGGGAGACAUGAUUUGUGAGUUAAGGGAACAGAAAAUGCCAGUGAGACCCUAAAGGUGUUGGGAGGUCCAUAGGAAGCUUACAUCUUCCAGGAUCCUCAUGUUGAAGAUGGAUAGAUAUGUACAGACAUGUCUAGACUGUUUAUUUGUUUUAAGGCCAGCUUUCUCUGAAAAGCUUUAGUUCUAAAUUAAUAACACUUUGCUUUAAGAAAUCAGUUUGGUUACUGGAUACCACUGUCUCAGCUCCUGCAGUGAAGUGAACUGGAGAUACUGAACCUAAGGCAGGCCUGCUGAGGUAAUUGUGGCUGACCACACGGGGGACUGCAGAGCAGGGCCCACUCUGACAGUGGGAGAAUUGCGUGAUUCCACCUCAGAGAGGUGACGGUAUGAACUUGAAUGUGGGGGGUGUGCAUGUGGAAAGACCAGGAAGGGUCAGAGAUGCAGUAAGCCCAGUGGCUGUGACACAUUUCAUAAGUUUUUUGUCUGUUUUUUGUUUUUUGCUUAUGGCUUAUUCUCUUGUGUUAGUUUUAAACAAACAAACAUUUCAAAAAUAUAAUUAAAUGGCUUUUCUCACAUAAAAUAAUUAUUUUGUUCAGUCUGUUUGCGCUAUAGUAUGGAUUUACAUCUAUUAAGUAUUCAGCAUUGUUUUUUAUUCCUUAUCUCCCUUUGCUAUUUACUUUUCAGCUAAAUGAGAUUUUGUAUGGUGGGAAUUCACUGUUCAUGUUACUUUCCUUCCUUUGGUACCAUAUGUUGAAUUUUAACUUCUUAUAUUUUCCAACCCAUUCAAGCAGUUCAGAACAGACUAAUCAAGAAAAUCUACUUAGUUCUAGUUGAUGUUCAGUUAUGAGUAACAAAGGAUAGAAGUGUCCAAGGUGAACAAAAAGGCAUCAUUGACUAAAGACUAUUAUUUAUUUGGGUAAGGGAGAAUUAAUUGGGUGCAAUGGUAUAUUGCAAAAGCUCACUCAGAUUUGAAAGCCAAAAGGGACCAUUGUGAUGACCUAGACUGACUCCCAGUAUAACACAGGCCAUAGAAUUUCACCUUGUAAUUCCUAUAGUGAAGAGAGUUAUUCUUCCUAGGAUAAAGUUAGUUGAGGGGAAAAUGUCCAGUGCUUCCCCCAAACAGCAUUGCACAAUGGCUAGAUGCAUUACAAGGUUAUGAGGUACAAUCAUCUGGUGCCAGAUUAUGAUACCCUUACUCACAUUGAGUAAUACCCUACAGCACAAGCAGUCCCAUCAUCUUAAAUGAGACUACUCAUGGUGUAAGUUAUAAUACAAUGAGAGCAAAAAUAUAACAAUAUAGGUUCUAGCUUUGAAGCAUCAGGUGCUUGCCACAGCUAGAAAAAUACUGGAUCAUAUGGUCUAAUCUAGCAUCGAUAACUCUAUGUUGCUACAUUUCUACUAUGUCAAUAUUUUUUCUUUAUAUUUUCAGACUGCUUUCUUUAUGCACUAUCGGUUAUCCAUGCAUUUAGUUUCAGAAACAAGCUUAGUUCGUACAGUCUUGUAUAUAGGACAAUCAGUAGCUGGUGAAAGCAGAAGAUGUGUCUUCAUGAUGUCUUCACGAACAAGGUCAGCUCCCAGACUGCUGCACUGGGCAGCACAGCAUGGGUAGGAGGUGACCGGCCCUCUGUGGAGAAAGAAGUGGUUAAGGACUAUUUUGAAAAGCUGGAUGAGCACAAGUCCAUGGGACCAGAUGCACUGCAUCCGACGGUGCUAGGGGAGUUGGCAGAUGUGAUUGCAGAACCAUUGGCCAUUAUCUUUGAAAACUUAUGGCGAUCGGGGGAGGUCCCGGAAGACUGCAAAAAGGGUAAUGUAAUGCCCACCUUUAAAAAAGGGAAGAAGAAGGAUCUGGAGAACUACAGGCAAGGAAUCAAUCUCAAGGAAUCAAUUCUGAGGCACUUAGAGGAAAGGAAAGUGAUCAGGAGCAGUCAGCAUGGAUUCACCAAGGGCAGGUCAUGCCUGACUAAUCUAAUUGCCUUCUAUGAUGACAUAACUGGCUCUGAGGAUAAGGAGAAAGCAGUGGAUGUGUUAUUCCUUGACUUUAGCAAAGCUUUUGAUAUGGUCUCCCACAGUAUUCUUGCCAACAAGUUAAAGAAGUUUGGGCUGAAUGAAUGGGCUAUAUGGUGGAUAGAAAGCUGGCUAAAUCAUCAGGCUCAACGGGUAGUGAUCAAUGGCUCCAUGUCUAGUUGGCAGCCGGUAUCAAGUGCCCCAAGGGUCGGUCCUGGGGCCAGUUUUGUUGAACAUCUUUACUAAUGAUCUGGAUGAUGGGAUGGAUUGCACCCUCAGCAAGUUUGCGAAUGACACUAUGCUGCGGGGAGAGGUAGAUAAGCUUGAGCGUAGGGAUAGUGUCCAGAGUGACCUACACAAAUUGAAGGAUUGGGCCAAAGAAAUCUGAUGAGGUUCAACAAGGACAAGUGCAGAGUCCUGCACUUAGGACGGAAGAAUCAGAUGCACUGCUACAGACUAGGGACCGAAUGGCUCGGCAGCAGUUCUGCAGAAAAGGACCUAGGGGUUAUAGUGGACGAGAAGCUGGAUAUGAGUCAACAGUGUGCCCUUGUUGCCAAGAAGGCCAAUGGCAUUUUGGGAUGUAUAAGUAGGGGCAUUGUCAGCAGAUCGAGGGAUGUGAUCAUUCCCCUCUAUUUGACAUUGGUGAGGCCUCAUCUGGCAUACUGUGUCCAGUUUUGGGCCCCACACUACAAGAAGGAUGUGGAAAAAUUGGAAAGAGUCCAGCGGAGGGCAACAAAAAUGUUUAGGGGUCUGGAACACAUAAUUUAUGAGGAGAGGCUGAGGGAACUGGGAUAUUUAGUCUGCAGAAGACAAGAAUGAGGGGGGAUUUGAUAGCUGCUUUCAACUACCUGAAGGGGGGUUCCAAAGAGGAUGGAGCGAGGCUGUUCUCAGUGGUGGCAGAUAACAGAACAAGAAGCAGUGAUCUCAAGUUACAGUGGGGAAGGUUUAGGUUGGAUGUUAGGAAAAACUUUUUCAAUAGGAGGGUGGUGAAGUACUGGAAUGGAUUACCUAGGGAGGUGGUGGAAUCUCCUUCCUCAGAGGUUUUCAAGGUCAGGCUUGACAAAGCCCUGGCUGGGAUGAUUUAGUUGGGGACUGGUCCUGCUUUGAGCAGGGGGUUGGACUAGAUGACCUCCUGAGGUCACUUCCAACCCUGAUAUUCUAUGAUUCUAUUUGCUAUCUUUACAUAGACUAGUCUAAACAUAAUUAAUGAAAUAAAUAAACAACAACUAGCUUUUAUACAGCCCUUUUCAUCUGCAGAACUUUAAGUGCUUUAUAAUCAAGGUAGGUACCACUGUCACUAGUUUACAAAUGGGGAAACUGAGUCAGAAAGGUGCAAUGACCUACCCAAGGUUACCCAACAGGCCACCUGAAGAGCCAGGAGCAGAACCCUAGAGCGGUAAAGUAAAACAGUUAUACUGAGAAAUUCUUAUUUAAUAUAAAAGAGUUUGACAAAUUAUUACUGUUCUAUUACAUUAUUUAAAUAUUUUUUGUAUACUGGAAAGGUUUGUUUUUAAACCAAAGCUAUGAGUACAGAUUUUUUUUAAAAAAGUUAUUUUUCAGUUUGCGUGACUUUACCUUCAAGAAUACAAAAAAAAAAACAAAAACCCAAAACCCAUGAGUUAUCAAGGAACAUAUUUUGUGAAUUUAAUUGAAACUAAAAACUAGUGAUUUUUCUUGAAAUCUGAAGGGGGAAAAAAUAUUGUUUGUCUACCUGCAUCCUUCUUAAGUGACAGUAUUCAGGCUAGCCUGAGUCCAUCAGAACAGCCAGUAAAGAAAACCAUUGUUCACUAAUUUCCUUGUGUGUGAACAUGGCAACUAAGCAUGGGACAUAGGAGGAGGAGGAAAGUAUGUUCUUUUGCACAUCAGGGAAGGUCAGAAUACACAGAGAAAAGAUCUAGAUCUUUUUGAAUACAAAUUUGUAUGUAGGGGAAUUUGGGAACUGGUUGGGGUGUGAUGAGGAGGUCCAUGUCUCCCCCCCGCCUCCUAAAAUGUUGGUUGGGUUGGGAAAGAAAGAUGCUACCUGAAUAAGACAUGGUUCCUAAAGCUGACAGCCUUUAGUUAGACAUUUUUACUGCUGAAAUGUGCUAGCCAUACCAUUUCUAAAUGGACAGAAAUAAAUCAUUUAUACUUCCUUUCAGUUACAUGCAAACUAGUUAGAUCUGCUACUGUAUAUUCUUCUUAUCAAAGGGGAAAUUGCCCUCCUCAAAUGUCCAACUUUUAAGAGAAAGCCACUAGAGCCAAGUGUUUUCCCAGCUAUGUAUCUGCCAUGAAGCAUUUUGGAGGUAUCAAUGUUUUAGUCUGUGUCAGUAAUUCCUUACAUUAAACCAAAAACAUUAACAUCUGAUCAAUGUUUAAGACAUGGUUAUUACUGUACUUGGAUAAUGAUCUAAAAAUCAAAUGUAAAAGACUGCUCUCUUGAAUUGCAGUGCUGGAGACUUUCGAAGGCAGCAUCACCAUUCCUGGGGGGUUGAGUAACCACAUCUAUCUUCUUCAUUUAAACCACUGAAAUUAUUCACAUUACUUUUGCAAUUAAACUAAGAAAAUAUGGAAUUAAUUGCCAUUCAAAAACUAUAAAAUUGAAGAAAAUUAAAUUCAAAACUAGAUUGGAGACCAAGUUUUGUAUUGUGGCCAGUUCUGUGUGCAUUGCACAGAGAUAAGAUAGAAGCUAACAUAAAGAUCAGACUUAUUAUUAGUCUGUGUUUAUGUCUGUGUGGUGGUGAUACCCAUUGGGUAAAUUGCAAAGCAAUAGCAAAUUGUUUUGACCAUCCUACCUCCACCUUGCCAUGUAAUCUGUCCCCCCAGAAGUCCAGUAAACCUCAGAACACUUUGAAGCAGAAGUCAA
This is a long non-coding RNA of Caretta caretta (loggerhead turtle), 5667 nucleotides long. RefSeq lists it as uncharacterized. Lineage: Eukaryota; Metazoa; Chordata; Testudines; Cheloniidae. The record is from RefSeq and is a predicted model, not a curated record.